RNAcentral lists this ribosomal RNA (501 nucleotides) under Triticum aestivum (bread wheat). RNAcentral's name for it is "partial small subunit ribosomal RNA". The record is from RNAcentral. Lineage: Eukaryota; Viridiplantae; Streptophyta; Magnoliopsida; Poales; Poaceae.
AUGGUGAAGGCAGUCAGGACAAUGAAGGUAAACGCAAACGAAAUCCAUCAAAAUAUUGCCAAUCCCCCUACGACCUUCUCAUUACCCGCAAGAAACGUGUUAAAAAAAAUCAUCAAUGCAUAUUGCAAACACCUACAACACUGUGAUUUUGUUGAUCGUUACAUAUCAACAACGUGGUUCCCCAAAUUUAUGUUGAAUAGGGAAAGGGGAAAGACCAAGUCAGUAAAUAAUCUAAACUCAGAGAACCUUACAAAGAAAACAAAAGUGCUCACGAGAGUAAUGGAUGAGUAUUUCAGACGGGACAAGGCGUAUUUUCCUAUGCACGUUAACGAGAUUCAUUGGAUAACCAUAGUGAUGCACACGGUCAAGGAGGAGUUUCAAGUUCUUGACUCAAAUUCUAAUGGCGCAAUUAGCCAAAGAAUUCACAAUAUGAUUGCCACCCUGAGAGCUGAAAUUUCUAAGGAUAUUAUGGAGGCCAACUCUACUUUUCAUGGCCAAUAA